UGGGGAAUUUUGGACAAUGGGGGCAACCCUGAUCCAGCCAUCCCGCGUGUGCGAUGAAGGCCUUCGGGUUGUAAAGCACUUUUGGCAGGGAAGAAACAGCCUGGGAUAAUACCCCGGGCGACUGACGGUACCUGCAGAAUAAGCACCGGCUAACUACGUGCCAGCAGCCGCGGUAAUACGUAGGGUGCAAGCGUUAAUCGGAAUUACUGGGCGUAAAGCGUGCGCAGGCGGUUCGGAAAGAAAGGUGUGAAAUCCCAGGGCUUAACCUUGGAACUGCACUUUUAACUACCGAGCUAGAGUACGUCAGAGGGGGGUAGAAUUCCACGUGUAGCAGUGAAAUGCGUAGAGAUGUGGAGGAAUACCGAUGGCGAAGGCAGCCCCCUGGGAUGAUACUGACGCUCAUGCACGAAAGCGUGGGGAGCAAACAGGAUUAGAUACCCUGGUAGUCCACGCCCUAAACGAUGUCAACUAGCUGUUGGGGUUUUAUUAACCUUAGUAACGCAGCUAACGCGUGAAGUUGACCGCCUGGGGGAGUACGGUCGCAAGAUUAAAACUUAAAUGAAUUGACGGGG
This 572-nucleotide ribosomal RNA is filed under the name uncultured bacterium. Its description in RNAcentral is "partial 16S ribosomal RNA". It matches the Rfam family "Bacterial small subunit ribosomal RNA", at positions 355 to 918 of the family's 1533-position model. The record is from RNAcentral.